Long non-coding RNA from Ornithodoros turicata, 325 nucleotides. RefSeq lists it as uncharacterized. The record is from RefSeq and is a predicted model, not a curated record. The transcript has 2 exons. NCBI's taxonomy places the organism in Eukaryota, Metazoa, Arthropoda, Arachnida, Ixodida, Argasidae.
CAACAACUGGUUGGCAGCGGUGGGAUGGACUUCGCCGAGCCGUAACUUCUUGCUUGGAACUCCGGUACUUCCCGAUAACGUCGCCUGGACGUCGUUCGGAUCUCCCGGCGAGCCAUCCGUCAUUUUCCGGCAGGGCAGUUUUACCACUGCACACAACGUUCUUGCGAAGGAAUGCAACUUCUGGAGGUCACUUUUCGAGACACGGUGUCGACAAGGGGACCGGACGAAAACGACGUAGUCCGCUUGUGUGUCGGUUGUUACAGUAAACGUGAAUGCUCGUUGCCUGCAUAGAAGGGCCUUGACAAUAAAUGUCGACGUUCCCGUU